UGAGGUGCUCUGUUAUAUGAGCUUUCGCUUUUAUUACCUUGAUAACAACAAGUACAUUUAAAAAACUUUUAAAGACAUCCUUUUCAAAGAUUUUUCUAAAAUUUUUUCCCUUAUUAAAGACAAAAAAGUUAGGUUGGAAAUGUGGCAAGGGCAUUUGUUCCUCGUUGUAUCGUUGGUUUCUGGAAAAUGCUUUAAUAUGCAAGAUUUUGUGCCAAAAAAGCGAGCAAGUUCAUUAUCAACAUUAUUCUUAUUUAAAUAAAAACAUUUUUUUUUAAUAACAGUUUAAUGAAUGCUUUCGAGUCUUUUCCGUAAACGCACAUUCCGAAGUGCUCAUUCCAUAAGGAACUGUUUCACAAAAAAUAAAACCUGUAAACAGUUUCUGCCUUCAUUUACUUAUCCAAGCGCCAGCGAAACAAACGACAGAAAAGAAGAAGCAUUCGAUAGGCUUGCAAUUUUUUUUUCAUAUGUUUUUAAAUAAUCUGAAUAAUUUUGUUAUUUUUAUUUAGUUGAAUUAUGAAAUUGUUUAUGUUAAAGUUGUUAUUUCCUUGUUAACUGUUGUUUGUCGUUAACAAAGCAUAUAAAAAAAUGCACAUAAUGACAACAGAUUUAUUUUUAGAACUGUUUGCAAAACUAUUGGUUUGGAUACAAAAGACCAAGUGAAAAUGAUGCUGGAAAGAAUGUUUACCGUUUCACUCCAGUCCCAAUCUAAGCUAGUGGGUUCAAAAAGAAAGGACUGCGCUGGAAACAUGAGAAGAUUAAAAGAAUGAGCCCUUUUUAAAAUAAUAGCCGAAGUUGUAACCAGCUCGUAUGAAAGGAUUUCUCAACGUGAAAUAGUUAAUUUUAUUCAACAACGCCAAGAAACAGAGCUCUUUCAAGAAACAGAAAAGAAAGAACAAUACUGUUGUUUUAUUUAUAAAUUAUUCUCAUAUGUUUAAA
Hydra vulgaris (swiftwater hydra) is the source of this 936-nucleotide non-coding RNA. NCBI's taxonomy places the organism in Eukaryota, Metazoa, Cnidaria, Hydrozoa, Anthoathecata, Hydridae. The record is from RefSeq and is a predicted model, not a curated record.